AGAGUUUGAUCCUGGCUCAGGACGAACGCUGGCGGCGUGCUUAACACAUGCAAGUCGAACGAGGUCCAAGCAGUGGCAACACUGUGGAAGAUCUAGUGGCGAACGGGUGAGUAACACGUGAGGAACCUACCCUGGAGACUGGGAUAAGCUUCCGAAAGGAGGUCUAAUACCGGAUAUCCUCAUCGGACCGCAUGAUCUGAUGAGGAAAUGGAUUCCGCUCCAGGACGGCCUCGCGGCCUAUCAGCUUGUUGGUGAGGUAACGGCUCACCAAGGCAACGACGGGUAGCUGGUCUGAGAGGACGAUCAGCCACACUGGGACUGAGACACGGCCCAGACUCCUACGGGAGGCAGCAGUGGGGAAUCUUGCGCAAUGGGCGAAAGCCUGACGCAGCAACGCCGCGUGGGGGAUGAAGGCUCUCGGGUCGUAAACCCCUUUCAGCAGGGACGAAACUGACGGUACCUGCAGAAGAAGCUCCGGCCAACUACGUGCCAGCAGCCGCGGCAACACGUAGGGAGCAAGCGUUGUCCGGAUUUAUUGGGCGUAAAGAGCUCGUAGGCGGCUCAGCAAGUCGGGUGUGAAAACUCCGGGCUCAACCCGGAGACGCCACCUGAUACUGCUGUGGCUAGAGUCUGGUAGGGGAGUGUGGAAUUCCCGGUGUAGCGGUGAAAUGCGCAGAUAUCGGGAGGAACACCAGUGGCGAAGGCGGCACUCUGGGCCAGUACUGACGCUGAGGAGCGAAAGCGUGGGUAGCAAACAGGAUUAGAUACCCUGGUAGUCCACGCCGUAAACGUUGGGCACUAGGUGUGGGGGCGUACCAAACGCUUCUGUGCCGUAGCUAACGCAUUAAGUGCCCC
Molecule: ribosomal RNA, 855 nt
Filed under: uncultured Actinomycetes bacterium
Lineage: Bacteria; Bacillati; Actinomycetota; Actinomycetes
Description: bacterial SSU rRNA
Rfam family: Bacterial small subunit ribosomal RNA
Source: RNAcentral